This 221-nucleotide RNase P RNA is filed under the name Neotoma lepida (desert woodrat). Its description in RNAcentral is "Nuclear RNase P". It matches the Rfam family "Nuclear RNase P", at positions 10 to 260 of the family's 301-position model. Rfam says of the family: Ribonuclease P (RNase P) is a ubiquitous endoribonuclease, found in archaea, bacteria and eukarya as well as chloroplasts and mitochondria. The record is from Rfam by way of RNAcentral. Lineage: Eukaryota; Metazoa; Chordata; Mammalia; Rodentia; Cricetidae.
ACAGCUCAUCAGUGGUGCCACAUGCUAAGUGCUCCUCACUCCCCAGCUCCUAGAAAGGUCUGAGACUGGGGCCUCCCAUGGCCCUAACCAGGCCCUCCCCAGCAGAGAGGUGAGUUCCCAGAGAGCAGGACUCCACAUGUGGGCAGACUUUCAAGCUCAUGGGAGUUUGAAACAGACUCACUGCACAGGCAGGCAGUAUUAGCACACAAGAGAAGCUCUGU